ACAAAUUCGUUGACGAGAAAGAGUAAUGUUUCGUAUUGUUCUACAGAAAGCUGACGCCUUGAUGAAAGUCAGUGUUCAAUUGUUACAUGAAAAUCCUCUCUGAGAAGGCACGCUGAAAUGAGUAAGCAAGCCCGGGUGUCUACCGUUAAAAAGAACACGUAUGAUUGUACGUUGCUAAGUGCUAUUGGAUUGUUCAAUAGAAUUAGGGUGGUAUCGCGAGUUAACUCGUCCCUUUA
This 236-nucleotide non-coding RNA is filed under the name Bacillus sp. (in: firmicutes). RNAcentral describes it as "Bacillus sp. T-box sequence". It matches the Rfam family "T-box leader". Rfam says of the family: Uncharged tRNA acts as the effector for transcription antitermination of genes in the T-box leader family. T-boxes are found upstream of many aminoacyl-tRNA synthetase genes and some amino acid biosynthetic genes usually in Gram-positive bacteria. Lineage: Bacteria; Bacillati; Bacillota; Bacilli; Caryophanales; Bacillaceae. The record is from RNAcentral.